RNAcentral lists this ribosomal RNA (550 nucleotides) under uncultured bacterium. RNAcentral describes it as "bacterial SSU rRNA". It matches the Rfam family "Bacterial small subunit ribosomal RNA", at positions 355 to 896 of the family's 1533-position model. The record is from RNAcentral.
UAGGGAAUCUUCGGCAAUGGACGGAAGUCUGACCGAGCAACGCCGCGUGAGUGAAGAAGGUUUUCGGAUCGUAAAGCUCUGUUGUAAGAGAAGAACGAGUGUGGGAGUGGAAAGUUCACACUGUGACGGCAUCUUACCAGAAAGGGACGGCUAACUACGUGCCAGCAGCCGCGGUAAUACGUAGGUCCCGAGCGUUGUCCGGAUUUAUUGGGCGUAAAGCGAGCGCAGGCGGUUAGAUAAGUCUGAAGUUAAAGGCUGUGGCUUAACCAUAGUACGCUUUGGAAACUGUUUAACUUGAGUGCAAGAGGGGAGAGUGGAAUUCCAUGUGUAGCGGUGAAAUGCGUAGAUAUAUGGAGGAACACCGGUGGCGAAAGCGGCUCUCUGGCUUGUAACUGACGCUGAGGCUCGAAAGCGUGGGGAGCAAACAGGAUUAGAUACCCUGGUAGUCCACGCCGUAAACGAUGAGUGCUAGGUGUUAGACCCUUUCCGGGGUUUAGUGCCGCAGCUAACGCAUUAAGCACUCCGCCUGGGGAGUACGACCGCAAGGUUG